Molecule: long non-coding RNA, 1042 nt
Organism: Morus notabilis
Lineage: Eukaryota; Viridiplantae; Streptophyta; Magnoliopsida; Rosales; Moraceae
Exons: 3
Source: RefSeq, a predicted model, not a curated record
GAGUAUUCCUCCAACGGUUACAUUUCCCAUCUCUCGCUCCUUGGUCUUCUGCUCCAUUUCCGAUCCAAAACCUUCUCAAUCAAUAUCUCACCCUCUCUCUCUCCUCCUCUUCUCUCUUUCUCUCUCUAGCUUUCGCAACCAUGAAGCACUUCAUGUAGCCAAGAAACGCGAUCUUGAGGGAGACGAAGAUGGAGUCUCCGACGUCGCCGAACCCUAGCGUAGCCAAGCCCUGGCCGUCGCGGAAGCAGAGGGGCUCCAAGGAGAACGCUCCGCCGUCGGAUUUGAACUCUUUGCGUCCGAUUUCCAUAGCCUCUACCUCUCUCUUUCUUUGCACUCCACAACGGUUUCUUGGGUGCGAUUUCCAUGCUUAGCCCUAGAGAGAGAAAUAUGCUAAAAGUGGCAAAGAGCAAAAGCAAGCGCCAAAUCCACGCAAGAAAGCACGCACCAGCUAGCUUCAACUUUACCUAUUUGGUCAACAUAUUAACUACUGCAUAAUGUUUUGUCACCGCAAUUAAACUUGUGCAAGCAAGAUUUGGUUCUGUAAGCUUCAACUUUUUAGAUUUGGAUUAGCUACUACAAAACAUUUUGCCAUCAAAGAUAAACUUGGGCAAGGAGAUUUUCAUUCUGUCUAUGAGGUAAUAACUCUGUUCUUUUUGUUUGUUUGUUUGGUUUUUGUUCCUUUUUUUGAAAAACAAAAUAGCUGAGGCACUGGAGAUCUUGUUUUUCUGCUUUAAGAGAGGCGCCCUGGCAUGGAUUCCUAAAGGCUAAGAGCCCAGUCUCUUAUUCACUUGCCUAGCUGCCUUUUCUAUUCCGAAAGGCUAAAAGACAACUGAAGACUACAAUAAAACUCCAUUGAAGUUUUUCUAUCUAUUUUUUAAACUAACUACUUUUUCUCUUUUUUUUUUUCUCGAUUUUUUUCCUUGUGUUUAUCAUGAUGAGCAGAGGAAAAGGGAUGAUGUAGUCUUAAUUUUCUUAUGCAUUCUUAGAAGUAUUGUCGCAUGGGAUUGAUAUUUAGUCUUAAUCACAUUAUCCAUACAAGUUA